AGGUAGAGUCCAGGGUCCGUGGAGUACUAGACCUAAGGAAGCCUGCAUGGGGAGGACACAGGACAGUGACAUCACAGGAUGCCCCUCCCAUCAGGAAAAUUAAGGCCCAGAACUCACUCAGCUCUUCCCCAGGAGGACCAAGCGUCAGGUGCAGUGCUGCCUGCCCCACUGUGCCAUGGGCCCCGGGCUCCUCUGCUGGGCGCUGCUUUGUCUCCUGGGAGCAGGCCCAGUGGAGCCUGGAGUCACCCAAAGUCCCACACACCUGAUUAAAACAAGAGGACAGCAAGUUAUUCUGAGAUGCUCUCCUAUCUCUGGGCACAGCAGUGUGUCCUGGUACCAACAGGCCCUGGGUCAGGGGCCCCAAUUUAUCUUUGAGCAUUAUGAGAAGGAAGAGAGAGGAAGAGGCAACUUCCCUGGUCGAUUCUCAGGUCGCCAGUUCCCUAACUAUAGCUCUGAGCUGAAUGUGAGCGCCUUGUUGCUGGGGGACUCGGCCCUGUAUCUCUGCGCCAGCAGCUUGGCACAGCCUGGCAGAGUCACUGACAUUCUGUAUAUAAACUUCCUGCCUUAGCUUUGACUUGAGAGCUACAGGCCCCACCCAGGUUUCACUCCUUCAAGGGAAGCUUUCAGUUGUUUGGAAGGCAUGUCUACUGUCCUACUGAGUGCAGAGCUCUCCCAACCAACAGCGUCCAGGUUUCCUGUACCCUGAGUGUGCCUGCUUCUCUGCUGCAUCCUCUUGCAGCUUGUUAUUUACUGGGU
Chlorocebus sabaeus (green monkey) is the source of this 756-nucleotide non-coding RNA. The record is from the annotation of a RefSeq genome assembly. Lineage: Eukaryota; Metazoa; Chordata; Mammalia; Primates; Cercopithecidae.